Stegodyphus mimosarum is the source of this 71-nucleotide non-coding RNA. NCBI's taxonomy places the organism in Eukaryota, Metazoa, Arthropoda, Arachnida, Araneae, Eresidae. The record is from Rfam.
GCUUUCGUGGUGUAACAGUAGCACACUCGGCUCAUAUUCGAGAGAUCCAGGUUCGAAUCCCGUCGAGGGCA